AGCACAUCGGCACUACAGACCAGUGAACUUCGAGACAAAGCAAUAGAAACUAUCCAAAAUAUGGUACAAAAAAGAAAGACUGAACAAAACAACAGCGUUUAGUGACCCGUGAGACAAAAUCAGCUGUUUGGAGUUCCCGUGGUGGCUCGGCAGAAACAAAUCUGACUAGGAUCCAUGAGGAUGCAGGUUCAUCCCUGGCCUUGCUCAGUGGGCUGAGGAUCCGGUGUUGCUGUGGGCUGUGGUGUAGGUCACAGAUGCAGCUCAGAUCUGGCGUGGCUGAAGCUUGGCAUAGGCCAGUGGCUGUAGCUCUGAUUCCACUCCUAGCCUGAGAACUACCAUAUGCUACAGGUAUGGCCCUCAAAAGACCAAAAAAAAAAAAAAAAAAAAUCAGCUGUUUUAAGAUAUGUUGGCUGAAAAAUGUCCACAUUUGCUGAAGUCUACAAACCACAAGCUCACAAACCCCAAGUAGAGUAAACAGAGAAAAUCACACUGAGGUCCCACAUAAUCCAGUUGCUGAAACAACCAGUGGUAAGGAGAAAAAAAAUCUUAAAAAGCAGGGAGAAGAAGAGACAGCACAUCACAGGGAAGUAAAGACGAAUGUCAGCAGACUGCCGGUCAGAACCAGCGCCGGCCAGGAGGCCGCAGCGACGUUUUUAAGUAACUGCCCCGAAAGGAACAAAUUGUUAGUUUAGAAUUCUGUACCCAGUGCAACUAUCUCUCAAAAGGGAAAGCGAAAUCAAAAUUUCUAGACUGAGAAAAGCUGACAGAAUUUAUCGCCAGCAUAACUUACAUGAUAAGACAUUUUAAAGGAAGUUCAAAUAGAAGAAAAAUUAUAUCAGAUGGAAAUUUUUACACAAAGGAAUGAAAAGAUCCAGAAAUGAUCAAUAGAUUGGUAAAUAUUCACACUUCCAAUUUUUUUUUAAAAUUGACUAUUUAAGGCAAAAAUAACAAUGUAUUUUGGAACUUAAAAUACUUUUAGAGAUGAAUAAAUGGCAACAGUAGCACAAAGGUUGGAAGGGGAGAAAUGAAAGCACAGUAUUACUGUAUCUCAAGUGGUGGUAACAUUACUUGAAGGUAAAAUGUGAUAAGUUAAAGAUGUGUGUUAUAUCCAGAAACAUCUCUCAUCAGUGG
This 1131-nucleotide long non-coding RNA is filed under the name Sus scrofa (pig). RNAcentral describes it as "lncRNA (ENSSSCG00065026652.1)". The record is from RNAcentral. Lineage: Eukaryota; Metazoa; Chordata; Mammalia; Artiodactyla; Suidae.